ACUGAGUUGCAAAACUCCAAACCCAUGUGAACAUACUCGUGUUGCCUCGGCGGCGAGCUACCCGGGAGCCUCCUACCCUGGAGUUGCCUACCCGGGAGCUGCCCGGCAGCUCCUACCCUGGAGCUACCCUGUAGCGCUGGCGGACCGCCGGAGGACCACCUAACUCUGUUUUUCUGUGUGGCACCUCUGAGUACGUACAUCUAAAUAAGUU
Molecule: unclassified non-coding RNA, 211 nt
Filed under: Virgaria boninensis
Lineage: Eukaryota; Fungi; Ascomycota
Description: ITS1
Source: RNAcentral